CACGAUGUAAGAAGUGCCUUUCUCCUCCUGCCGUGAUUCUGAGGCCUCCCCAGCCAUGUGGAACUGUACCUGUAUGAAUACAGAGACCAGUGCCUCUCAAACUUCGGAGCUCAUACAAAUCACCUGAGUGACGUGGGAUUUUCUUCUAAUGGUUCCACUUGGAUUGUCACUGGAUUGAGGUAACUUUUUGUAUUAAUUUCUCAACAGUAAAAUCUAGACCUACCUAUGGUGCAAGCCUGCAGUGUUUUACAGGACACUCUUUGAACUUCGUUUGCACUUUAUGUACAUGCAUAUAUG
This is a long non-coding RNA of Pongo pygmaeus (Bornean orangutan), 297 nucleotides long. RefSeq lists it as uncharacterized. The record is from RefSeq and is a predicted model, not a curated record. Lineage: Eukaryota; Metazoa; Chordata; Mammalia; Primates; Hominidae. The transcript has 3 exons.